RNAcentral lists this ribosomal RNA (115 nucleotides) under Danio rerio (zebrafish). The record is from RNAcentral. Lineage: Eukaryota; Metazoa; Chordata; Actinopteri; Cypriniformes; Danionidae.
UUUCGCGUAUGGUGUGAACUCAGCAUCACAUGGUCAUCCACUGAAGUCAAGUAGGGCUGCGCCCGGUCAGUACUUGGAUGGGAGACCACAUGGGAAAACUAGGUUGCUGCUAGAA